Molecule: ribosomal RNA, 305 nt
Filed under: uncultured bacterium
Lineage: Bacteria
Description: bacterial SSU rRNA
Rfam family: Bacterial small subunit ribosomal RNA
Source: RNAcentral
CCUACGGGGCGCAGCAGUGGGGAAUAUUGCGCAAUGGGCGAAAGCCUGACGCAGCGACGCCGCGUGAGGGAUGAAGGUCUUCGGAUCGUAAACCUCUGUCAGCAGGGAAGAACGGUCACUGUGCUAAUCAGCAGUGAAUUGACGGUACCUGCAAAGGAAGCACCGGCUAACUCCGUGCCAGCAGCCGCGGUAAUACGGAGGGUGCGAGCGUUAAUCGGAAUUACUGGGUGUAAAGGGAGCGUAGACGGCGCUGCAAGUCCGGAGUGAAAGUCCAUGGCUUAACCAUGGUACUGCACUGGAAACUG